Molecule: non-coding RNA, 21 nt
Filed under: Arabidopsis thaliana (thale cress)
Lineage: Eukaryota; Viridiplantae; Streptophyta; Magnoliopsida; Brassicales; Brassicaceae
Source: RNAcentral
UAGCCAAAGUCCAUAUGAGUA